Molecule: ribosomal RNA, 397 nt
Filed under: uncultured bacterium
Lineage: Bacteria
Description: partial 16S ribosomal RNA
Rfam family: Bacterial small subunit ribosomal RNA
Source: RNAcentral
ACACGUAGGGGGCGAGCGUUGUCCGGAAUGAUUGGGCGUAAAGGGCGCGUAGGCGGCCCGGUAAGUCUGGAGUGAAAGUCCUGUUUUUAAGAUGGGAAUUGCUUUGGAUACUGUCGGGCUUGAGUGCAGGAGAGGUAAGUGGAAUUCCCAGUGUAGCGGUGAAAUGGGUAGAGAUUGGGAGGAACACCAGUGGCGAAGGCGACUUUCUGGACGGUAACUGACGCUGAGGCGCGAAAGUGUGGGGAGCAAUCAGGAUUAGAUACCCUGGUAGUCCACACUGUAAACGAUGAAUGCUAGGUGUAGGGGGUAUCGACCCCUUCUGUGCCGCAGUCAACACAAUAAGCAGUCCGGCUGGGGAGUACGGCAGCAAGGUUGAAACUCAAAGGAAUUGACGGGG